CCCUUAGAUGUUCUGGGCCGCACGCGUGCUACACUGAGUGGAUCAGCGGGUCAGGUUGCGCGAAAGCGUUUCCUAAUCUUUAAAUCCGCUCGUGAUGGGGAUUGACGGUUGCAAUUUUCUGUCAUGAACGAGGAAUACCUUGUAAGCGCGGGUCAUCAUCCCGCGCUGAAUACGUCCCUGCCCUUUGUACACACCGCCCGUCGCUACUACCGAUUGAAUGGUUUAGUGAGACCCUCGGAUUCGUCCCAGCACAGUGGGUUUCUGCUGAGCUGGUGCGCGGAGAAGACGGUCGAACUUGAUCAUUUAGAGGAAGUAAAAGUCGUAACA
This 327-nucleotide ribosomal RNA is filed under the name uncultured eukaryote. Its description in RNAcentral is "partial 18S ribosomal RNA". It matches the Rfam family "Eukaryotic small subunit ribosomal RNA", at positions 1470 to 1796 of the family's 1831-position model. The record is from RNAcentral.